AGUGAACGCUGGCGGCGUGCUUAACACAUGCAAGUCGAACGAGAACGGGUUAUAGCUUGCUAUAAUUGUCAGCUAAGUGGCGCACGGGUGAGUAAUGUAUAGGUAAUAUGCCUCUUACUAAGGGAUAACAAAUGGAAACGUUUGCUAAUACCUUAUACUCCUUACUAACUAAAGUUAGUAAGGGAAAGAUUUAUUGGUAAGAGAUUAGCCUGUAUUGUAUCAGUUAGUUGGUGGGGUAAUGGCCUACCAAGACAAUGACGCAUAACUGGUUUGAGAGGAUGAUCAGUCACACUGGAACUGAGACACGGUCCAGACUCCUACGGGAGGCAGCAGUGGGGAAUAUUGCACAAUGGACGGAAGUCUGAUGCAGCAACGCCGCGUGGAGGAUGACACAUUUCGGUGCGUAAACUCCUUUUAUAUAAGAAGAUAAUGACGGUAUUAUAUGAAUAAGCACCGGCUAACUCCGUGCCAGCAGCCGCUGUAA
RNAcentral lists this ribosomal RNA (484 nucleotides) under uncultured bacterium. RNAcentral describes it as "partial 16S ribosomal RNA". It matches the Rfam family "Bacterial small subunit ribosomal RNA", at positions 29 to 523 of the family's 1533-position model. The record is from RNAcentral.